CUGGCCAGGGGUCUAAAGGCUGGCUUUACUUACUGAGUCUGCAGUUUGGGGCGCCUAAAAUUGUGAAAAAGUACGAACUUCAUGGGAUUGUUGUGAAAAUUGAGACGCCAGUUUACUCCAUAAGUGGUAACUGCUGUUUCUGAGUUUAGCAGGAAAUAUCCCUAUCAGGAACAAUUCAUUUCCCUAACAUUUUUCCUGCAUCAACAUAUCAAAUAUACCUCUGGCAAACUUAUCUAGGCACAGUAGGGUGUUUGAAAUCUUGAUCCUAUUUCUAAGGCUUUUCUUCCUCUUUUAGCCCAUGGAUACCAAUAUGUUAGCCCUGCUUACUUACAUACUCCAGGCCCAGUUAGGGGUUACUGGAGUAGUGUAGGGGUUGAAGCGACAUAGGGAGAGGACAGGCUGGAUUGCAGGUAUAGAUAAGGGAUUUCCUCCCAGCAGGGUCAUUCCCGCCUUGUGAUUUGGAAGAAGGGAGGUGGGGAUGGGUGGUAAAACCGCAGGGGUCAAGGAAGUAGGCGAAUGGGAGUGCAUACGGGACAAUAGGGGUGAGAAAGAAGUAACCAAUUUAGAUCCUAGGUCCACAUGGGUGAUGAAGGGCAAAUAGGGAAAUCUAGCCCCAUCUCCCUCAAUGCCUCCUUGGGGCCCGAAAGAAGCGCUAUCCCAAACCGCUCUUGGCCAAGCUCCCCAGCGGCCCUUGAGAACUCGCGAUCGAGAGGAGACCUCCGAGCUGCCUAGACGGGACCCGGAAGUGCGCACGGGGGAGCCCGAGUUUCCAGUCGUGCCGGGGGACCGUGGUCGAUGCUGCUGCGGAGCGGUUGCGCCAUGACUGCCCGUCCGUUGUGCCGCGCUCUAAAGAAAAUUUAGAGGUCUUGUCUUUGGAGCAGCACCGGGGAUUGGAUCCAGCCCAUGGAGAAGCUGUCUGAGCAGAUAACCCCGGAGUCCCUGUACCCAUCCUCCCAGCAGGAGCCCCGAAAGAGCAAGGGUGAGGAGCUGACCUAGCUGGCUUUCUUUGUCUAAACUUUGUCCUUCCAGCCGCGGCCUCGGAUCAGAUGGACACGGUUAACUUUACGCUUAGAAUUGGCCUGGUGAAAAACUACUCCCCCCCCCCCCUUUUUGUUUAACCUCAGGGCUCUAUUACCUGUAAAUAAAGUCUGUAACCG
Molecule: long non-coding RNA, 1157 nt
Filed under: Neogale vison (American mink)
Lineage: Eukaryota; Metazoa; Chordata; Mammalia; Carnivora; Mustelidae
Description: Neovison vison (American mink) lncRNA (ENSNVIG00000008268.1)
Source: RNAcentral